This 238-nucleotide unclassified non-coding RNA is filed under the name Hevea brasiliensis (rubber tree). The record is from RNAcentral. Lineage: Eukaryota; Viridiplantae; Streptophyta; Magnoliopsida; Malpighiales; Euphorbiaceae.
CGAGAGGAGCUCCGUCGCUUACUCCGGUGGCUGCUUCUGCUACCAUCCCGUCUUUCCCUGCGCUUCCGGGAGCUAGCCACAGGAGAUGAAUCGCAGCUAUCUGAGUCGUCUGAAUCAGAUUCAGAGUCAUCGGACCUUCUUCUGCUGCGUCUCCGUGAAGAUGAUUUCUUCUCUCUCUUCCGCUCACUGCUUCGGCCAUGGGUACCCAUACUUGGAAAAGAAACUCAAUUGCUGCACG